AACACAAACCCUGCUGCGCCAAGCUUCCCUUCCCUUCCUUGCAAAAUGGGCCAUGUGCAAUUUUCCAAGCCCUGUUUUAAUCACCAAGGGUCAACCCUGCAUUGCUCUGAGGACUUCCCUUCCACAUGAAGGAGCAGCAUCUGUCCUUUCCAUCUGUCCCAGCAGCUCCCUGGGCAAAGCCGCACUGGGGAUGCUCCGGCUGCAGUUGCCACAACAACAAAACGAGGCAACAGUUUCCCCGGUGGAUGCACAAGCAGCAUCAAUGCCUUGUGGGCACAAUGGGGACCAGGGCAGGCAAAAGGUGCCACAGCCGCGCUGGUGCUGGUGGCACAUCCAGGUGGGAUGAUGCCUUUUGCAGCCAUGAGCAUCCCCAGGACUUUCACUUCCACCACCCUGUUCCCUGGGCCAGCUGAAAUGCGGGUACUCUCAUCCCCUUCCCCUCAAAAUCCAGUCUGUCUCUGCCCUUCUUGGCCCCAGGAGGUGCUCGGUGUGUGCAGGGCUUACAUGGGUGUCCAGGGGGAGCCAGCACAGGGGGGUGACACUGUGGCUAAUGGGACACGAUCCCUUUCCAGCUCUCCACACAGCAAACACCAAGUCCCAUGAGGGCACUGGGGCAGCUUCGCCAAGCCCAUCCCUCCCAGCUGCCCUUCCCUGCAGCGACCCCAUCUCCAAAUGUGUUCUCCCCUAAAGGCUCCCCCUUCCCUGUUCCCUCAAGCAGCAGCAACCACGUCAAGCUUUUCCCUUUCUGCUGCUCCCGGGAGGAAGGCCUUGGCGGCUGCCCAGCAGCUCCGCAAUCUUGCUCUGUCACGGGCUCGCUGCCAGCUUGGGCUGGGGGCCGGGAGGAGGGGGAGAACGGAAACCUCACCCCGGCACCCACAAACCCCCGUGGGCGCUGCGCCUCCACGCUGGGAGAAGGCCGAGGGGCAAAGGGCGACGGCCGCCCACGUGCCAGCGCUAGUGGAGUUUGAAUCCGGCGCCGCGGCGUCCACGCCACCCCUGGGACUCGUGCAAGAGGACAGGGAGGACGAAGCACGGCCGCACCGAGCCGCUGCACGCGGGGCUCCUGGCGAGCCCUGAGGCGACCGCACGAUUCUCGCUGCCCAGCCUGGGACCUGCAGCGGCUGGGAACGGCGCUGGCCCCGGCCGGGCCCGGCCGCCCGCCUCGCCCGGCCCGGGGCUCCCAGCUCCGGCCGCCCCCCUCAGCCCCGCCGCUCUCCCGCGCCGCCGGCGCCAUCUUGCGGGCGGCUGCGCGGGCGGGAGCGGGGCCAAAAUGGAGGCGGCGCCGGGCGAGCCUCGGGGCUGAGGGGAGCGGGGCCGGCGGCGGCCCCAAGGCGGGGA
This 1338-nucleotide long non-coding RNA is filed under the name Anas platyrhynchos platyrhynchos (common mallard). Its description in RNAcentral is "lncRNA (ENSAPLG00000030053.1)". Lineage: Eukaryota; Metazoa; Chordata; Aves; Anseriformes; Anatidae. The record is from RNAcentral.